GCCCCGAUUGGCUCAGCUGGUUAGAGCGUCAUACUAAUAAUGCGAAGGUCAACAGUUCAAUCCUGUUACUGGGCA
RNAcentral lists this transfer RNA (75 nucleotides) under Podospora anserina S mat+. RNAcentral's name for it is "tRNA-Ile (AAT) (tRNA-Ile-AAT-3-1)". It matches the Rfam family "tRNA". From Rfam's summary of the family: Transfer RNA (tRNA) molecules are approximately 80 nucleotides in length. Lineage: Eukaryota; Fungi; Ascomycota; Sordariomycetes; Sordariales; Podosporaceae. The record is from RNAcentral.